This 212-nucleotide ribosomal RNA is filed under the name uncultured bacterium. RNAcentral describes it as "partial 16S ribosomal RNA". The record is from RNAcentral.
AGCCGCUCGGUCUGUUGACAUGCCUAAUACAUUGCAAAGUCGAGCGAAUGGAUUAAGAAGCUUGCUCUUAUGAAGUUAGCGGCAGAGACUGGGUUGAGUAACACGUUGGGUAACCUAGCCCAUAAUGACUAGGGAUAACUCCAGUAGAGAAACCUGAGGGCUAAUAACCUGNGAAUAACAUAUUAUAGCACUUAGCAUAGAGUAGCAAGAAA